This 515-nucleotide ribosomal RNA is filed under the name uncultured bacterium. RNAcentral's name for it is "partial 16S ribosomal RNA". It matches the Rfam family "Bacterial small subunit ribosomal RNA", at positions 28 to 523 of the family's 1533-position model. The record is from RNAcentral.
GAUGAACGCUGGCGGCGUGCCUAAUACAUGCAAGUCGAGCGAAUGGAUUAAGAGCUUGCUCUUAUGAAGUUAGCGGCGGACGGGUGAGUAACACGUGGGUAACCUGCCCAUAAGACUGGGAUAACUCCGGGAAACCGGGGUUAAUACCGGAUAAUAUUUUGAACUGCAUGGUUCAAAAUUGAAAGGCGGCUUCGGCUGUCACUUAUGGAUCUACCCGCGUCGCAUUAGCUAGUUGGUGAGGUAACGGCUCACCAAGGAAAAGAUGCGUAGCCGACCUGAGAGGGUGAUCGGCCACACUGGGACUGAGACACGGCCCAGACUCCUACGGGAGGCAGCAGUAGGGAAUCUUCCGCAAUGGACGAAAGUCUGACGGAGCAACGCCGCGUGAGUGAUGAAGGCUUUCGGGUCGUAAAACUCUGUUGUUAGGGAAGAACAAGUGCUAGUUGAAUAAGCUGGCACCUUGACGGUACCUAACCAGAAAGCCACGGCUAACUACGUGCCAGCCGCCGCAGUAA